UUUAGUUUUUACGGGCAUUCGGUGGAUGCCUUGGCACCUUGAGCUGAUGAAGGACGUAGCGGCCUGCGAUAAUCCUCGGGGAGUUGGCGAGCGAGCUUUGAUCCGGGGGUUUCCGAAUGGGGGAACCUAGCCAGGUUUGUUUCUGGUUACCAUCACUUGAAUAUAUAGGGUGAUUGGGGGGAACGCGGGGAAGUGAAACAUCUCAGUACCCGCAGGAAGAGAUAUUCCGUUAGUAGUGGCGAGCGAACGCGGAGGAGGCUAAACCAUGUGCGUGUAAUUACCCGGCAGGGGUUGCGUGUGUGGGGUUGUGGGGUCUUGUUGGUUGUGUCUGCCGGCG
This 337-nucleotide ribosomal RNA is filed under the name Gleimia coleocanis DSM 15436. Its description in RNAcentral is "bacterial LSU rRNA". It matches the Rfam family "Bacterial large subunit ribosomal RNA", at positions 1 to 329 of the family's 2925-position model. Lineage: Bacteria; Bacillati; Actinomycetota; Actinomycetes; Actinomycetales; Actinomycetaceae. The record is from RNAcentral.